Nerophis ophidion (straightnose pipefish) is the source of this 339-nucleotide long non-coding RNA. RefSeq lists it as uncharacterized. The transcript is spliced from 3 exons. NCBI's taxonomy places the organism in Eukaryota, Metazoa, Chordata, Actinopteri, Syngnathiformes, Syngnathidae. The record is from RefSeq and is a predicted model, not a curated record.
UAAAGUCAAUGUAAGCGGGCGCUGUCGUCGUCCAAUUCCAAAGUCAUUCGACCACCAAAGAGACAUGAUGCUCAACGUGGUGUUUAGAAUACAACGUUUUUCAGAAAAAAAAGAUGAAAAAGUCGCCACCUUUGCUGCGUUUCGACACCGGAAGUCCACCAGGUGGAUGAAGUGAAGGAGCCAAAAUGGCGUCGCGUACACUGAUGCCUUCAGGGAACAUGGGAGCAUUGACUUUCAAAAGGAGAUCAGCUGAGCUUGUGCCGCCCAUGAAGCUGACGUCGACUUCCCUGAGACACUGCGCGUCAACACACCCGUGGACACACACCUCCAACUAUCAGG